Molecule: ribosomal RNA, 406 nt
Filed under: uncultured bacterium
Lineage: Bacteria
Description: partial 16S ribosomal RNA
Rfam family: Bacterial small subunit ribosomal RNA
Source: RNAcentral
AUUGAACGCUGGCGGCAGGCCUAACACAUGCAAGUCGAACGAGUGGCGGACGGGUGAGUAAUGUCUGGGAAACUGCCUGAUGGAGGGGGAUAACUACUGGAAACGGUAGCUAAUACCGCAUACCAUCGGAUGUGCCCAGAUGGGAUUAGCUAGUAGGGGGGGUAAAGGCUCACCUAGGCGACGAUCCCUAGCUGGUCUGAGAGGAUGACCGGCAACACUGGAACUGAGACACGGUCCAGACUCCUACGGGAGGCAGCAGUGGGGAAUAUUGCACAAUGGGCGAAAGCCUGAUGGAGCAAUGCCGCGUGUGUGAAGAAGGCUUUCGGAUUGUAAAACACUUUCAGCGGGGAGGCGGUACCCACAGAGGAAGCACCGGCUAACUACGUGCCAGCAGCCGCGGUAAUUC